CCUACGGGAGGCAGCAGUAGGGAAUAUUGCUCAAUGGGGGAAACCCUGAAGCAGCAACGCCGCGUGAAGGAUGAAUGUUUUCUGAGUGGAAACCCCUUUUUUUAGAGGAGAUAAUGACGCUAUGUAACGAAUAACCACGGGUUAAUUCCGUGCCAGCAGCGGCGGUAAAAGUGGGGGUGCACGCGUUACUCCGAAUCACUGGACGUUAAGAGCGCGUAGGCGGGAUAGCAAGGCAGAUGGGAAAUCUUCGGGCUUAACCCUAGAACUGCAUUUGAAACUGGUGUUCUAGAGUUUGGGAGAGGUAGGCGGAAUUCGUGGUGUAGGGGUAAAAUCCGUAGAGAUCAAGAGGAAUUCUGAGUGCGAAGGCGGCAUGCUGGAACACAACUGACGCUGAUGCGCGAAAGCGUGGGGAGCGAACAGGAUUAGAUACCCCAGUAGUC
This 440-nucleotide ribosomal RNA is filed under the name uncultured bacterium. RNAcentral describes it as "partial 16S ribosomal RNA". It matches the Rfam family "Bacterial small subunit ribosomal RNA", at positions 338 to 795 of the family's 1533-position model. The record is from RNAcentral.